Molecule: long non-coding RNA, 297 nt
Filed under: Ananas comosus (pineapple)
Lineage: Eukaryota; Viridiplantae; Streptophyta; Magnoliopsida; Poales; Bromeliaceae
Description: long non-coding RNA (ACOM_LNC001779)
Source: RNAcentral
CCCCAACAAAAACAACUAAAAGAAAGAAGGAAACAACUCCAAUGCCAGGCUCAGUUAAUCAUGCAUUAUGGCCAUAACAAGGGCUACCUGUCCUAAGUUAAAAACAAAGCAGUUUUGCAGAUCCUCGUCCAUCACAUUUGUUCUCAUCAAUAUUUAUGUUAGGUGACACUGAAGCCAUUUAAGAAGAUACCUCACCAUCAAUUUAUAUCCUACCCUUCCUAACCUUCCUCCAAAUAUCUAUCUCUAUAAUUAUUAAUGUACCUUCUUUAGAUCUUCAUUAUUAAUAGUUCAUACUCC